This 72-nucleotide transfer RNA is filed under the name Staphylococcus aureus. RNAcentral's name for it is "tRNA-Gln". It matches the Rfam family "tRNA". From Rfam's summary of the family: Transfer RNA (tRNA) molecules are approximately 80 nucleotides in length. Their secondary structure includes four short double-helical elements and three loops (D, anti-codon, and T loops). The record is from RNAcentral. Lineage: Bacteria; Bacillati; Bacillota; Bacilli; Caryophanales; Staphylococcaceae.
UGGGCUAUAGCCAAGCGGUAAGGCAACGGACUUUGACUCCGUCACUCAUUGGUUCGAAUCCAGCUAGCCCAG